This 21-nucleotide non-coding RNA is filed under the name Arabidopsis thaliana (thale cress). The record is from RNAcentral. Lineage: Eukaryota; Viridiplantae; Streptophyta; Magnoliopsida; Brassicales; Brassicaceae.
AUGUAAGAGAGGUGAUAUUGA